Molecule: ribosomal RNA, 1049 nt
Filed under: Pectobacterium carotovorum
Lineage: Bacteria; Pseudomonadati; Pseudomonadota; Gammaproteobacteria; Enterobacterales; Pectobacteriaceae
Description: bacterial SSU rRNA
Rfam family: Bacterial small subunit ribosomal RNA
Source: RNAcentral
CAAAGAGCUUGGUCUCUGGUGACGAGUGGCGGACGGGUGAGUAAUGUCUGGGAAACUGCCUGAUGGGGGGGGAUAACUACUGGAAACGGUAGCUAAUACCGCAUAACGUCUCAAGACCAAAGAGGGGGACCUUCUGGCCUCUUGCCAUCUCAUGUGCCCCCAUGGGAUUAUCUAGUAGGUGGGGUAACGGCUCUCCUAUGCGACAAUCCCUAUCUGGUCUGAGAGGAUGACCACCCACACUGUAACUGAGACACGGUCCACACUCCUACGGGAGGCGGCAGUGGGGAAUAUUGCGCAAUGGGCGCAAGCCUGAUGCACCCCUGCCGCGUGUAUGAAAAAAGCCUUCUGGUUGUAAAGUACUUUCUCCGGGGAGGAAAGUGUUGUGGUUAAUAACCCCUCCAAUUGACGUUACCCGCACAAAAAACACCGGCUAACUCCCUGCCCCCACCCGCGGUAAUACGGAGGGUGCGAGCGUUAAUCUCAAUUACUGGGCGUAAAGCGCACGCACGCGGUCUGUCAAGUCUGAUGUGAAAUCCCCGGGCUCUACCUGGGAACUGCGUUCUAAACUGGGAGGCUGGAGUCUUGUGUAGAGGGGUAGAAUUCCACGUGUAUCGCUGAGAUGCGUAUAGAUCUCGAGGAGUAUCGGUGGCGAAAGCGGCCCCCUGUACAAAGACUGACACUCACGUGCGAAAGCGUGUGGAGAACACACGAUUAUAUACCCUGUGAGUCCACGCCGCAUACGAUGUCUAUUUGUAGGUUGUGCGCUCGAGGCGUGUCUUCCGGAGCUAUCACGUUAUAUCGACAGCCUGUGGAGUACAGCCGCGAGUGAUAACUCACAUGAGUAUGACACGGGCCCGCACACGCGGUGGAGCAUGUGGUUUUAUUUCUAUGCAACACGAAAAGACUCUAUCCUGUUCUUUGACAUCCUCCAGAGCUCUUCCACAGAUGUAUUGGUGGCCUCUCUCGAACUGUCAGACACGUGCUGCUAUGUGCUGUCGUCACGUCGUCGUGUGAAAUGUUGUGUUAAAUCCCCCACAAGAGCACCCCUU